RNAcentral lists this ribosomal RNA (253 nucleotides) under uncultured bacterium. RNAcentral describes it as "partial 16S ribosomal RNA". It matches the Rfam family "Bacterial small subunit ribosomal RNA", at positions 524 to 776 of the family's 1533-position model. The record is from RNAcentral.
UACGUAGGGUGCGGGCGUUGUCCGGAAUUAUUGGGCGUAAAGAGUUUGUAGGUGGUUUGUCGCGUCUGCUGUGAAAAUCCGAGGCUCAACCUCGGACUUGCAGUGGGUACGGGCAGACUAGAGUGUGGUAGGGGAGACUGGAAUUCCUGGCGUAGCGGUGGAAUGCGCAGAUAUCAGGAGGAACACCGAUGGCGAAGGCAGGUCACUGGGCCAUUACUGACACUGAGAAGCGAAAGCAUGGGGAGCGAACAGG